UACGUAGGCGGGAAAUUAAGUCAGUAGUGAAAUCCCGCAGCUUAACUGUGGAACUGUUAUUGAUACUGGUUUUCUUGAAUAUAGUUGAGGUAGGCGGAAUGUGUAAUGUAGCGGUGAAAUGCUUAGAUAUUACACAGAACACCGAUUGCGAAGGCAGCUUACUAAGCUAUGAUUGACGCUGAGGUACGAAAGCGUGGGGAGCGAACAGGAUUAGAUACCCUGGUAGUCC
This 229-nucleotide ribosomal RNA is filed under the name uncultured bacterium. Its description in RNAcentral is "partial 16S ribosomal RNA". It matches the Rfam family "Bacterial small subunit ribosomal RNA", at positions 568 to 796 of the family's 1533-position model. The record is from RNAcentral.